Molecule: ribosomal RNA, 466 nt
Filed under: uncultured bacterium
Lineage: Bacteria
Description: bacterial SSU rRNA
Rfam family: Bacterial small subunit ribosomal RNA
Source: RNAcentral
UUCCAGACUCCUACGGGAGGCAGCAGUGAGGAAUAUUGGUCAAUGGUCGGGAGACUGAACCAGCCAAGCCGCGUGAGGGAGGAAGGUACAGAGUAUCGUAAACCUCUUUUGUCAGGGAACAAAGACUGGGACGCGUCCCCGGAUGAGUGUACCUGAAGAAAAAGCAUCGGCUAACUCCGUGCCAGCAGCCGCGGUAAUACGGAGGAUGCGAGCGUUAUCCGGAUUUAUUGGGUUUAAAGGGUGCGCAGGCGGUCUGUUAAGCCGGGGGGCAAGCCCGGGGGCCCACCCCCGGCCCGCCGUUGAAACUGGCAGUCUCGAGUUGGAGAGAAGUAUGCGGAAUGCGCGGUGUAGCGGUGAAAUGCAUAGAUAUCGCGCAGAACUCCGAUUGCGAAGGCAGCAUGCCGGCUCCACACUGACGCUGAGGCACGAAAGCGUGGGUAUCGAACAGGAUUAGAUACCCUCGUAC